This is a long non-coding RNA of Conger conger (European conger), 660 nucleotides long. RefSeq lists it as uncharacterized. The transcript has 3 exons. The record is from RefSeq and is a predicted model, not a curated record. Lineage: Eukaryota; Metazoa; Chordata; Actinopteri; Anguilliformes; Congridae.
GUUAGACACCAGUAACCAGUUGGGCUGUGUAGGACAGGAGUUAGACACCAUUAAGAAGGGCUGUGUAGAGCAGAAGCAAUGGGGAUGGUACAGUGGUGGACCCUACUCUGGAUAUCGAGAUACUGUCACACACUUUCAGCUGAGGUGUUAGUGCAGUACAAAUACUUCGUUCCUGGGCAGAGAAAGGACAUCUCUCUACAAGCCCCAGCUGAGCCCAAAGGGACAGAAUUCAUCUGGGAGUGGACACCACAUGAUGGAAGCAAUAAAAGACUCAUAAUGACUAUACAGUCCAAUGGAGACUUUGUGAGGAAUUCAUUGUUUUUUUCUAUUUCAAAGGAAAGCAGGUAUGACAUUCGUCUGGAAUCACAGUCAGACAUUGCAGGGGUUUUUACUUUUAUUCAAACUAAACCAGAGAACGUCAACUUGGCCCAGAUUAAAGUGUCUGCUGUAAAAGUGAAUCAAUCGCCCUUCAUAAUAAAUGAAGGUUAUGAUGUGGCCUUGAGCUGUGAGGUAUCCUACCUUCCAGAUUCAGCUACACUGGCCUGGGAACGGGACAGAGAACCCACUGCUAACACAGCGCUGAUCUACAACAACACUGCUCACAUCAUCAUCCACAGUGCUGAGCAGUACAGUGUGGGAACAUAUAACUGUACACUCCGA